GACGAACGCUGGCGGCGUGCUUAACACAUGCAAGUCGAACGGAAAGGCCCUGCUUUUGUGGGGUGCUCGAGUGGCGAACGGGUGAGUAACACGUGAGUAACCUGCCCUUGACUUUGGGAUAACUUCAGGAAACUGGGGCUAAUACCGGAUAGGAGCUCCUGCUGCAUGGUGGGGGUUGGAAAGUUUCGGCGGUUGGGGAUGGACUCGCGGCUUAUCAGCUUGUUGGUGGGGUAGUGGCUUACCAAGGCUUUGACGGGUAGCCGGCCUGAGAGGGUGACCGGCCACAGAGGGACAGAGAUAGGGCCCAGACUGAUACGGGAGGCAGCAGUGGAGAAUAUUGCACAAUGGGCGGAGGCCUGAUGCAGCAACGCCGCGUGGGGGAUGACGGCCGUCGGGUUGGAAACCGCUUUCGCCUGUGACGAAGCGUGAGUGACGGUAAUGGAUAAAGAAGCACCGGCUAACUACGUG
Molecule: ribosomal RNA, 468 nt
Filed under: uncultured bacterium
Lineage: Bacteria
Description: partial 16S ribosomal RNA
Rfam family: Bacterial small subunit ribosomal RNA
Source: RNAcentral